GGUCACGAGUGACAGCGCUGAUGGACCCCGGUCCGCUGUCCGGCAACCCUCCUGCCGUGGUGGGGUGCUCCGGGUGAUGACCGGGCCGCGGACAGCAAGGUCCGUGGCAAGCGCGGAUC
This 119-nucleotide non-coding RNA is filed under the name Streptomyces sp. RNAcentral describes it as "SAM-IV sequence". It matches the Rfam family "SAM (S-adenosyl methionine) riboswitch aptamer". From Rfam's summary of the family: SAM-IV is a mRNA element that regulates gene expression via direct sensing of S-adenosylmethionine (SAM or AdoMet). SAM-IV riboswitches share conserved nucleotide positions with the previously described SAM-I riboswitches sequence analysis and molecular recognition experiments suggest that SAM-I and SAM-IV riboswitches share similar ligand binding sites, but have different scaffolds. The record is from RNAcentral. RNAcentral also lists the same sequence under 1 other name. Lineage: Bacteria; Bacillati; Actinomycetota; Actinomycetes; Kitasatosporales; Streptomycetaceae.